Molecule: non-coding RNA, 1584 nt
Organism: Heterocephalus glaber (naked mole-rat)
Lineage: Eukaryota; Metazoa; Chordata; Mammalia; Rodentia; Bathyergidae
Source: RefSeq, a predicted model, not a curated record
CUAUAAAAAGGUCUAUGUUUUGUUUUCAUUAGUACAUUGAAGCAGCCGUAAUGAUACACCUCAGAUGCUGUAGAAAGAGGACUUGCAGAAUUCAGCAGUGAAGCCAUCAGGACCUGGGCUUUUCUUCUUCCUGGGCAGAGAGAUUUUGCAGAAAGCUCACACCUCUCACAUGAUUGCAGCUGAGACCUCAGCGUUUACAUCCCGAAACACUGACACUAACUCUUCUACUCAUCUGGUGAGGGCCAGUCCCCAGGGCGAGAUCCGGUCCUUUCUGCAUGUUCCCGAAGUGACCUGCCCAAGAGAGAUCUGGUUUACAGAAGGACUACUCGAUGUGAAGUGAUGUUCCUGCCUUGGACCCAUGGAUUCACUCCAUCUUUGUCAUUCUAUCUCUGGUGGACAUUGAACUUUAUAAAAUGUGAUAAAAAGUACUUUUAGUCUUGGAAGGAGCAAACUGGACUGUCUGAAAAACAACUUUUUAAGUGAAAACGGGAACUUUUGGUGGAGAUCCACUGUUUCCAAAACCUUGAAGGAACAAAGGUUGCCACUCGCCAGCACCUGGGGAGUCAAUAUGCGUCUAUCAGCUCUUGACUUUGGGCCCAGUGCACCUUCUUGAUCCUGAUUACUGCAGACACCUUCUGAUUCAUCUUCCACAAACCGAGUAUUCGCAGCCCAACUGUUCAGAUGAACCUUAAAUGUAAGUACACCGUCAUGCGGUUAUCUUAGUCAUCGUCUCAAAGCCUGCAAUGGCUACUAUUUCUUUCCAGUCCAAAAAAGCCAGGUUCUCCAAGAUGUCUGGAAGUGGCCACAUCCAGAGUCCUCAGCUUCUACUUCUCCAUAGAAUUAUUUCUCCUCACUCUUCCUCCCUGGAAGGAGCCUACUCCUCAAGGACUGGUCACUCUACUCUUUUCUUUGUUGGGAAUGCAGUGGCCCAACACUCAUAAUUUGUUUGGGGCCAUGUUUCUUUGGCUCCAAGGAAGAAACAUCAUAGCAGAAAAGCAUGGUAGAGGAAAGCUGCUCAUGUCAUAGUGGCCAGAGAAAGAGAGAGAGAGAGGGAGGAACCAGGCAGGAAGAUCCACUCUUCCAGGUCACAUGCCCAUUGACUCAGCUCUUUCAAUCAGACCCCACCUCCUACCUAACCACAGAUUCAUCAGUUGACUAAUCCUCCCAUGAGUACAACCUCUGCAUGACCCAGUCAUUUUCAAAAAGCCCAACUUCUGAACACACGAGUCUUGGGGGAGUGGAGCAUGCUAGAUCCAAACCAUGGCCAUAACAAAUGCCACUAAUUUGAAGUUUGUAGUGAAGUUCCAGUAAUGUUUUCUGAAUGAAUAAAUGGACCCAUAAAUUAAGAGCCAUCAGUACCUGGAAGAAUGGUAACUUCUCAAUUGCUAGGUGUUUGUCAUCCCCCGAAAAACCACUCAUGACUUAACGGAAAAAACACAAGUAUUGCUGCCACAUUUUUACAUUGCUGAGUGUAGCCUAGGUUGAAAUUUUUUCUUUUAAUAGCAGGGAUUAUCGGUAACCGACCUUGCCUUUAGGAAAAAGAAAAAUCUCAAUAAUGCUAUAUUAUAGAAGCAUAAUUUUGAA